RNAcentral lists this unclassified non-coding RNA (199 nucleotides) under soil metagenome. Its description in RNAcentral is "partial internal transcribed spacer 1". The record is from RNAcentral.
CUAGAGCGCCGAAAGGCUGCUUAAAACCAUCGCGAACCUAUCCAUCAGCGUUGCUUCGGCGGGAAGGUCCCGGGGCCGCGAUUCUCGCGGGCCCGGGUCCGGGAACCCACCCUCUCCGGAGGUUGCGGGGCCCGCCUGCCGGAGGUACGAAACUCUUGCGCAUCUCCGUGGAUCUCUGAGUAAGCAAGCAAAUAAGUUA